RNAcentral lists this unclassified non-coding RNA (224 nucleotides) under Hevea brasiliensis (rubber tree). Lineage: Eukaryota; Viridiplantae; Streptophyta; Magnoliopsida; Malpighiales; Euphorbiaceae. The record is from RNAcentral.
GAAAAAUUAAGAAAAAAUAAAAGAGGUAAAAUGUGACUAAGUUAAACGAGCCAAACCCUCAGCGAUGGGUGACCGCACUGGAAAGUUACGGCGAGAACCGUUGACUAGCCCUGGACCUAGGGAAACUUGAGGAAAUAUUUUUGGGACAUAAUUAAAGGUCUACUGAAGUGUAAUUGACAUUGGAAAUAUCAAAGAAAAAUUAGUAAGUCAGUAUAAACGAAAAA